Camellia sinensis is the source of this 1322-nucleotide non-coding RNA. NCBI's taxonomy places the organism in Eukaryota, Viridiplantae, Streptophyta, Magnoliopsida, Ericales, Theaceae. The record is from RefSeq and is a predicted model, not a curated record.
CCUAAUUAUUGUUCAUUGUUCUAAAUUUAUCUGAAUAUGAGUAUAUGGAUCUCCCCUAAUUAUUGUUCAUUGUUCAUUAUUGAAGAUGAUGAUGUUGAAGAUAUCUGUUAAUUUGAUGAUGUUAACAAAUUUCAACAAAUUUUUCUGUGUGUAGGAAUUAUUUUAUAUAUUUCUGAUGUUGAAGAUGAUGGUGUUAAUUUGUUAGUCAUAACCUGUUGUGAUUAUUAUUUUGAUGUUAUUUUGAUUAUGUAUUACUUAUCAAGAGAACAACAAUUCUAAUAGUAGAAAAAUUACUAAGAAAAUGAUAUGUAGGACCACAGUUAUUCUAACCUGACUCACAUUUUUUAUCAAUUUUAAAUUUACAUCAUUCACUUCUUUUAAGAAAUAAAUUUCAAAGUUGAAAUUUGUUAAUUUGUUAAUUUUGAAGAUUAAUUUGUUAGUCAUAACCUGUUGUGAUUAUUAUUUUGAUGUUAUUUUGAUUAUGUAUUACUUAUCAAGAGAACAACAAUUCUAAUAGUAGAAAAAUUACUAAGAAAAUGAUAUGUAGGACCACAGUUAUUCUAACCUGACUCACAUUUUUUAUCAAUUUUAAAUUUACAUCAUUCACUUCUUUUAAGAAAUAAAUUUCAAAGUUGAAAUUUGUGAAUUUGUUAAUUUCAUUCAAAUAAUUCUCUAACUUCUGAAAUUGAUUCAGUUUUACCCUUAUGUUACAUUCUAUCCUCUUUUGGCAAUUAAGUUGAUCAAAUAGGACUAAUUUAAAAGACAAAUCGAUAAAUUUAAUUCUAAAACCUUUUUCCUAGUAUAAAAAAAAUCCAUUGAUAACAUGAGUACACAUUUUCCUUUUAACACAAUAUUUACUAGCAGACGUACUUUCAGUUUUGGCCAUGACCAUGUCUGCAGAAUGAGAACGGAUUCAGAGAGCAGCGGCUAGGGCUUCUUCACUUCUUCACACAGCACAGAUUCGCACCGUUACAAGCCUCCAGGACGACAUCAAUUUCUCUAUUUUUUUCCGCCAUUAACGAAUCAAUUUCCAGCCUCCCCAGGUAUUAUUUUGAUGGAUCUUUGAUCUUUUUCUUUAUUUUUUAGAAAUUUUGGGUCUACACUUGAAUCAAAAUCAACACUUGAAUCUCCGAUCUGUCUACACUUGAAGAAGGCUCUGUCUUUUUUUUUUAGAGAGGAGAAGAAGAAGGCUCUGUUUAGAAAUCAACUUUUGAUAAAAAAAAAAAUUAUAAUAAUAAAACACUUGGGUCUACACUUGAAGAAGGCUCUGUCUUUUUUUUUUUUUUAGAGAGGAGAAGAAGAAGGCUCUGUUUAGAAAUCAA